Molecule: ribosomal RNA, 253 nt
Filed under: uncultured bacterium
Lineage: Bacteria
Description: partial 16S ribosomal RNA
Rfam family: Bacterial small subunit ribosomal RNA
Source: RNAcentral
UACAGAGGUCUCAAGCGUUGUUCGGAUUCAUUGGGCGUAAAGGGUGCGUAGGCGGCUCGGUAAGUCGGGUGUGAAAUCUCGGGGCUUAACUCCGAAACUGCAUUCGAUACUGCGGUGCUUGAGGACUGGAGAGGAGACUGGAAUUCAUGGUGUAGCAGUGAAAUGCGUAGAGAUCAUGAGGAACACCGAUGGCGAAGGCAGGUCGCUGGGCCGAUACUGACGCUGAGGAGCGAAAGCGUGGGGAGCGAACAGG